Molecule: ribosomal RNA, 1955 nt
Filed under: metagenome
Description: bacterial LSU rRNA
Rfam family: Bacterial large subunit ribosomal RNA
Source: RNAcentral
AAUCGAACUCGGAGAUAGCUGGUUCUCCCCGAAAUAGCUUUAGGGCUAGCCUCGAUUUAGAUUACCGGGGGUAGAGCACUGAAUGGGCUAGGGGGCCACAAAGCUUACCGAACCCUAUCAAACUUCGAAUACCGGAUAAUUGAUGAUCGGGAGUCAGACAGUGUGAGAUAAGUUUCAUUGUCGAAAGGGAAACAGCCCAGAUCUACGACUAAGGUCCCAAAGUUCAAGUUAAGUGGAAAAGGAUGUGCAAUUGCGCAGACAACCAGGAUGUUGGCUUAGAAGCAGCCAUUCAUUCAAAGAGUGCGUAAUAGCUCACUGGUCGAGUGAUUGUGCGCCGAAAAUGUAACGGGGCUAAACUUGACACCGAAGUCUAGGCAGAAGGAAACUUCUGGGUAGGGGAGCAACGUGUACGGGCAGAAGCAGAAGCGGAAGCGACUGUGGACUGUACAGGAGAGAGAAUGCCGGCAUGAGUAGCGAGAGCAAAGUGAGAAUCUUUGCCGUCGAAAGCCUAAGGUUUCCUGAGGAAGGCUCGUCCUCUCAGGGUAAGUCGGGACCUAAGCCGAGGACAAUAGUCGUAGGCGAUGGACAAUCGGUUAAUAUUCCGAUACCGCCGAGCAACCGGAUGCAGUGACACAGAAGGAUAGGCAGAGCGUGGCGAUGGUAGACCACGUCCAAGCAGUGAGGCUGUUGUGUAGUGAAGUACGCACAACGGAAGGCUGGGCUGUGAUGGGGAACGAUUACGAUCGGUAAGCUGCUGAAUUCACGCUGGCGAGAAAAGCUGCUACGAAGCGAAGGCGCCCGUACCGCAAACCGACACAGGUAGGCGAGGAGAGAAUCCUAAGACGAGCGGGAGAACCCUUGUUAAGGAACUCGGCAAAAUGACUCCGUAACUUAGGGAGAAGGAGUGCCCAGGAAUGGGCCGCAGAGAAUAGACCCAAGCGACUGUUUACCAAAAACACAGGUCUGUGCGAAGUAGAGAUACGACGUAUACGGGCUGACACCUGCCCAGUGCCGGAAGGUUAAGGGGAAAUGUUAGGGCAACCGAAGCAUGGAACUUAAGCCCCGGUGAACGGCGGCCGUAACUAUAACGGUCCUAAGGUAGCGAAAUUCCUUGUCGGGUAAGUUCCGACCCGCACGAAAGGUGUAACGAUUUGGGCACUGUCUCAACGAGGGGCCCGGUGAAAUUGAAAUACCUGUGAAGAUGCAGGUUACCCGCGACUGGACAGAAAGACCCCAUGGAGCUUUACUGCAGCUUGAGAUUGAAUCCCGGUGGCAGACGCACAGGAUAGGUGGGAGGCUUUGAGAUAGUGACUUUGGUUGCUAUGGAGCCGACGUUGGGAUACCACCCUUCUGUUGCUGGGAUUCUAACGCGAAGAUUAACAACCUUGCGGACCAUCUCAGGUAGGCGGUUUGACUGGGGCGGUCGCCUCCGAAAGAGUAACGGAGGCGCCCAAAGGUUCCCUCAGGCCGGACAGAAACCGGCCGAAGAGUGCAAAGGCAGAAGGGAGCUUGACUGCGAGACAGACAAGUCGAGCAGAGACGAAAGUCGGGCUUAGUGAUCCGGUGGUACUGCGUGGAAAGGCCAUCGCUCAACGGAUAAAAGCUACCCUGGGGAUAACAGGCUAAUCUCUCCCAAGAGUUCAUAUCGACGGGGAGGUUUGGCACCUCGAUGUCGGCUCAUCACAUCCUGGAGCUGGAGUAGGUUCCAAGGGUUGGGCUGUUCGCCCAUUAAAGUGGUACGCGAGCUGGGUUCAAAACGUCGUGAGACAGUUUGGUUCAUAUCCAUCGCGGGCGCAAGAAGUUUGAGGGAGGCUGCUCCUAGUACGAGAGGACCGGAGUGGACGGAUCAACGGUGUACCAGUUGUCACGCCAGUGGCACGGCUGGAAAGCCGCAUCCGGAAAGGAUAAACGCUGAAAGCAUCUAAGCGUGAAGCCCGUCCCAAGAUGAGACUUCU